Molecule: long non-coding RNA, 1850 nt
Filed under: Prunus persica (peach)
Lineage: Eukaryota; Viridiplantae; Streptophyta; Magnoliopsida; Rosales; Rosaceae
Description: long non-coding RNA (PPER_LNC005516)
Source: RNAcentral
CUCCCAAGGAUUCCCAGGCACCACCCUCUUAUACAAAUAGCUGUCAAAGGUCAUCUUCUGCACAUACUCAUCUGCGCACAUCUCCACAAAAGCCUCCCUCGCCGGGUUCGACCUAUAAAACACCUUCUGCAACACAUCCAACACCUUAUAAGUAGGCCAGUAAGUCUUGUCCCACUUCUCCAAGUACUUCCUUAAAUCCGCCUCAUUUACCAUCCUCUUUCCAUUCUCCGACCCCUCAACUAUUGCCUCUGCACACAUCCUACCACUCUUUGCUGCAAAGUAGAUGCCUUCACCUGAACAUUUUGUCACAUACCCAGCUGCAUCACCAACAAGUGCUACUCUGCCUGCUAACCUUCGUGGGCGGGGGUGUUCGGGAAUUGGAUGCGCCUCCACUCGCAGGAUUUUGCCACCUAGUAUCUUGUCCUUGGCUCUGUUUCUUGUUGCAAGUUGGAAUUUCUUGAUGUCUCCUUUGUGAGUCACAGUGCCGGUACCAACUGCUACAUGGUCACAUUUGGGGAACACCCACCCGUAAAAGUCCGGUGAGACAUCAUCACCAACAUACAUCUCAGCAAGAUUCUCAUAGUACACCAUUUUAUCAUCAGGGAUUUUGAUUCUCUCCUGCAAAAGGCAGAAACCAAGAAUUUAAUUAGAAUGGAUCAACACUGAACCAAGUGUAAACAUUUAAUCAUACUUCAGCAAUGCAGCCGGGGUUUAGCCUUUUACCAAAAUUUUGACCAAGUAUAGAAAAUACAACUAAAACUUUAAACUAGCUAAUCAUUCAGUAACAUUUUCUCUAAAAGGGUUUUUCUUGUUCUGUAUGCUAAGCUAACUACGUUUUUCAGGACAAAUUAGAAAUGCAUACCAAAAACCAUGUCUCAAUUUUGAGUUACUCACAUAGAUACAGUCAAUUCAGCCAAAUAAAUACCAAGAAAAGAAAAUACUUUUAUGCAAGCAGCCAGAAUGUUAGAAAACAACUUCAAAUCAAAGAAUGUGCCUAGUACGUUAACACAAAGCACAACAAUUGAGUGCAAAUUGAAUUAGAAGUUGCUUUCUUCCUCUAAGUUUUAUAAUCAAAUUGCAAUUUCCUGCGAACAACUCCCACAUGCAAAGCUCACAGAGCAAGCAUUAACUGAUAAUUUAAAACAAAGCAAGUUCAUAAUUACCUGAAAGGCAAUGGCAUACUCAUAAUCACCAGCGUCAAUACUCUUAGCCACUCUAGAAUUAGCUCCAUCAGCUCCAAUCACAGCAUCAACCUCCAAACUCUUCUUCACACCAGCCCCACCGACCUUCCCAUCAUACUCUGUGUAAUGCAGAACGUACGGCGCUUCCCCAUCUCCCGGUUUCUCCAUCUUCAGAAACAACCCAUUUAUCACAGUCGCCCCAUUCUCACUCGCCCUGUUCCUCAAGUACUGGUCCAGCACCUCACGCCUCACCAUCCCAAUGUACUCGUGCGGCUUCAGAGUUUGACCAAUGUCAACUGCCACAUUGGACGGCGAAAUCAUCUUCAUCUUGGUGACCCGGCGGUCGAUGAUGUCCAAUGGGAGGUCAAAUUCACCCACCAUGCAGAGCGGGAUUGCGCCGCCGCAGGGCUUACAGUUGUCCAUUUUUCGCUCGAUUAGGAACGUCUCGAUGCCGCCUUUGGCGAGGGUCUCAGCGGCGGAGCCGCCUGCCGGGCCACCUCCGACGACGGCGACCCUGAGGUUUCGACCCGUGACUUUUGGGCUGGUUUUGGCGGCAUUGACCUGGAGCCUCCGGUGGAUUGAAGGGUUUAGAGAAAUGGGUUUUGCUUGGAUUGUGAAAUGGGGCUUUUCUGCGGAGGCUUGGCGGAGUCCGAUGAAGGACUUGAGAGC